This 433-nucleotide ribosomal RNA is filed under the name uncultured bacterium. RNAcentral's name for it is "partial 16S ribosomal RNA". It matches the Rfam family "Bacterial small subunit ribosomal RNA", at positions 29 to 507 of the family's 1533-position model. The record is from RNAcentral.
AACGAACGCUGGCGGCAUGCCUAACACAUGCAAGUCGAACGAGACCAUCGGGUCUAGUGGCGCACGGGUGCGUAACGCGUGGGAACCUGCCCUCAGGUUCGGAAUAACUCCCCGAAAGGGGUGCUAAUACCGGCUAAUGUCUUCGGACCAAAGAUUUAUCGCCUUUGGAUGGGCCCGCGUUGGAUUAGCUAGUUGGUAGGGUAAAAGCCUACCAAGGCGACGAUCCAUAGCUGGUCUGAGAGGAUGAUCAGCCACACUGGGACUGAGACACGGCCCAGACUCCUACGGGAUGCAGCAGUGGGUAAUAUUGGACAAUGGGCGAAAGCCUGAGCCAGCAAUGCCGCGUGAGUGAUGAAGGCCUUAGGGUUGUAAAGCUCUUUUAACCGGGAUGAUAAUGACAGUACCGGGAGAAUAAGCUCCGGCUAACUCCGUG